Manis pentadactyla (Chinese pangolin) is the source of this 1774-nucleotide long non-coding RNA. RefSeq lists it as uncharacterized. The record is from RefSeq and is a predicted model, not a curated record. The transcript has 4 exons. NCBI's taxonomy places the organism in Eukaryota, Metazoa, Chordata, Mammalia, Pholidota, Manidae.
UCGUGGCUGCCCCCGCGCCCCCACCCUCUGGGGGACCCCGAGGGCUGGAGCGGCUGCGCAGGGUGUGCAGGACCCAGUGCUCUGCGCGCGUAUCUGAGGGUGGCCUGGGGCCCGGCAGGUGGAUUCCUCACCCCCAAUCUGGGAUGGAGGCCGCUGGGCCCACGCGGGGGAAAACCUGGUUUUGGGGACCCCCCAAAUUGAUGCCGGGAUUCUUGUUCACGGAGCCGAAGAAUGAACUUCGCAACACUCAAGAUGUUCCCUCUGCUGGUGGCCAAUGGGAAGGGCCAGCCGGCCUCCCUGGCAGGAGCCCAAUUUGGAGGCUCGGUGUCUUUGAUUGGAUUAUGUUCAAGGAUACACAGCCUCUUGUCUUUUAAGUACAUUUAAGAGUUCAUUUCCCAGCUCUGACAAUUCAGCUAGGCAGUUUCAACAGGGAGACACUUAUUUCUGCUAAUGUUUAACUAUAAACUAAUGUGAGAAGAAUUGGCUCAAUAUUGUGGAGAAGGAGAGCUGGAAGGCAAGACGGAGACCUCCUCCCACACUCACACCAAGGAAGCAAUUACAGCAAACACAACUAACCUGGAAAACUGCAGGACAGACCUGAAGACUGCAGGACAGACCACCUACAUCUGGGGAAGGAGAGGAGCCACGCAGAAAAGGGUAAAGUGGCAGAUCCACAAUCAAGUGGGACCCCAGCCCUUCCCCCAUCCCAGCCUACAGGCAGCAGGAAGAGGAACAGCGGGAGGGGACAGGUGCCCAGGAACUCUGCACACCUGGCCCUGGAGAUAUGCUCCAGGAACAUGAGUCCACAUUGCAUUGGUUUCUGGUGAUUAGCAGACUGGACACAAGGGACAGGUGGAACACUCUGGGAGGCUGAGACCCCAGCUGCAUGUGGAGGACAGGCACACUCCCCUUUUCCCACUGAGACCCAACACAGAGGCAGCAGUUUGAGAGACGUGCCCGCAGCGGGAGGGGAGUCAGAGGAGUGAGGGUUGAACAGAGCUCUCUCUGCAGGAGAAAGGGCAGGUGGACAAUACCUCCCCAGCCCUCCCUUGUCUCAACAGCUCAGGCGCUCUCGGGAGCCCCAGACACCCCAUCCCCUCACUGCCAGCUCAGCCUGGCCGCUGCCAGGAGCCAUUUAUAAGAAGUGCGCUGCAUCUGCCCCCUCCCGCCGUCUUCCCAGCCUGGCUAAUCUAAUCGCGUUUUCCAGGCUGCAAUUAAUAACCCCCAAGCAGCUCCAAAAUGAGGCUCUCAUAAAGGGCCAGCAGCUCCCGUCGGCGGGGAAGGGGCCCAUGCUUUCCCAGAGCCUGCCAAGGGGGAGAUGGCCCCUGGGGAACACAGCGGGGUGCAGCCCUACUUCCAGGCUGUGCGACCUUGGGCCAGCAGCCUGCCGUCUCUGAGCCAUGGGUAUCCCCUCUGAAAAUGCGGGGCCCACGAGGCCUACUGCAAACCUCCAUAUCUGCAUCUUCCCCCAUUGCCCAGGUGGGGAAACUGAGUCUCAGAAAGGGGUGGGAGCAAACGAGACAUUGUACAUAUGCUGCUGCCCCCACCGGCAUCCCCGCUCAGUUCCCCACACCCUUUCUGCCCUGUCUGAGGAACCUCUGUCCUAACCCCACAGUAUUUCCCCCCCAACUCAGACACCCAGGCCUUACCCCACUUCCUUGUCACCUUCAGGGUCCAGGUCAGGGCUGCAAGGGUGAGAGGCAACUGAUGGAGCAGCUGAGCCCUUGGCCAGUUGCCAAGGAGAUGGUCCUAGGGUACUAGGGGUGGGCCGGGC